GCGAUCAUUCCAGCACUAAUGCACCGGAUCCCAUCAGAACUCCGAAGUUAAGCGUGCUUGGGCGAGAGUAGUACUAGGAUGGGUGACCCCCUGGGAAGUCCUCGUGUCGCACCCC
RNAcentral lists this ribosomal RNA (115 nucleotides) under Salvia splendens (bonfire salvia). Lineage: Eukaryota; Viridiplantae; Streptophyta; Magnoliopsida; Lamiales; Lamiaceae. The record is from RNAcentral.